RNAcentral lists this small nucleolar RNA (50 nucleotides) under Pyrobaculum calidifontis JCM 11548. RNAcentral describes it as "PCAsR33". The record is from RNAcentral. Lineage: Archaea; Thermoproteati; Thermoproteota; Thermoprotei; Thermoproteales; Thermoproteaceae.
UUGAUGAGAAGUGGUUCAGGGGAGCGGUGAACGACCUUCAGCGGCGCUGA